This is a long non-coding RNA of Eptesicus fuscus (big brown bat), 900 nucleotides long. RefSeq lists it as uncharacterized. The transcript has 3 exons. The record is from RefSeq and is a predicted model, not a curated record. Lineage: Eukaryota; Metazoa; Chordata; Mammalia; Chiroptera; Vespertilionidae.
UCACUCCUCCAAUAGGAGACUGGGGUGAAUGUGACCAAGAUCUCGGAUGCACCUGGAUCAGGGGUCCCUCUCCUAGUUGGCCGAGGCUGUCCCUGCUUUUGCUCUCUAGGGGCUCGUGGGUUUAGAAUAAAGCGUGGAGACAACGAAAACGUCCGAAGGCUGGUACUACAAGUUUUUUCUGAGCAAUUUUCUUCCUUGGGAUUUAUUGACUAAUUUUCUUACAUAGUUAAGGUAACGUGAUGGAAGGCAGGACACCUUUGUUCCAAUCUUCUGCUUUUUGUCCCUAAACUACAAACUGAUGAUCACUAAGCCUCAGUUGCCUUACCUGUGAAAGGGGAGGAUAAUAUUUACCUGCCUCACUGACAGGAUCAGGCUGUGAAUCUGGGCUACACUCAACAGAUGGGCAGUCUUUCAAAGUCCUUGAGAACUGCCUGCAGCCUGAGCAAUUGUGAAAAGGAGGCGGACACAGGUUUAAAUAGACAUGAAUGGGUGUGGCGCCUUAUAUUUUUCAUUUGGUAUGUUCCUAUUUUUUAAGUUCUGGUUGUAUGAGAGAGACUUCCCUAUGGGAAUGUGAGAUUGUUUUUGCUUGGUGGAUAUGUUGCAUACAUUUGGAAAUGAAGUUGGAAGAGACAGAGCUGACCAAUGAAGAAAAAAUAUGUCUCUCACCUUUGGGGUGAAGUCCUGGGAGGAGACCUGGAGCUAUCUGACUGCAGCUCCGAGACCCAGGUCCCCAGAACAAGCCUGGAGAGUGGUUAUUGCUCCUGCUUCCAUGGAAACGCACAAGAUUGGGGGAGACCAGGGCUGCUGUGCUGAUGAUGUGACAAUGUCCCUGAAAACAAAAGGCUGCAUGUGACGACGUGGAUUAUCAUCUUUCCAAUAAACGUGUGGGCCAGAAUAACU